RNAcentral lists this small nuclear RNA (99 nucleotides) under Meriones unguiculatus (Mongolian gerbil). Lineage: Eukaryota; Metazoa; Chordata; Mammalia; Rodentia; Muridae. The record is from RNAcentral.
GUGCUUGCUUCUGCAGCACAUACUCUUAAAUUGGAAUGAUGAGGAGAUUAGCCCCUGUGCAAGAAUGACAUGCAAAUUCGGGAAGCCAUCUGUAUUUUU